CAGGAAUGACCUGCCAGGUCGUGCGCUGCGCACACCAGACCAGAGCCGCUAGCUGCCACAGACGCGCGCUUCCUGGAAGGCUGGAACCUACGUACAGGUUCAGACUGUGGAAAAAUCGAACGAGGUAACUUGGGCGACUCGCCAGGCAUGCAUCCAUGGCGCUCUCUGAACAGGCUGCCGGAUUUUUACAGUCAUCCGCUAGUCGCUAUAUAUAUAUCGGCGACGCACGGGCCCCAUACUUUCGCUAGUUCAGGCGACGCCUGUGAUCCGAUCGGAAUAGGCCAUGGACCUCCGGCACCACGCCAUCCAGCUCAGCGCGAGUCCUGGCUCGGCGGCUGCCGCAACGCGGCCCGGCGGCGAUGGUGGCACGAUGAGCUCCGAGCUGUACCUUGCUGUGUGCGGGGGGAAGAAGGAGAAAACCAUGGCGCUGCUUCGGCAACACCCCAGUGGUAAUGUUUACCAAACUGUUGGAUUUCCCGUCAUCUGUACGUACACAUACUUAUCGGUGCACAAUAGCUAGAUGUAAGUUGUUUGAAUUUAUAAUUUGGAUGAAUCGAAUUUUGAGUGAUGGAACCAACAGCCAGAGAGAAGGAAGGAGCUCGUUGGAGAAGUGUCUGGGUCUGUCUUAGGAUGGCAGGCGACUCCAUCAUCUAUCUUAAGGUGUGGGAGAUAGUGCAAAUUCACCAAAAAAAACUGCCCUUCGCCGGGGCUAGAGGGAUGACCGGGGGCAGCAGUAGCAUGCCGGUGAGCGAUGGUUGAGGAGAGGGUGGGGCGGCGAGGCUAGCGCGGGAGUGCCGCCGCCCACGGGCGGUGGUGACUGGCGGUCCAGCCGGUGGUCCGUGGGGGCACUUGGGGAGGAAGCCGUGGGGAGGUUUAAGAUAUUCGAGAGGUUGAAGAAAGGAUCCGGCUGUCCGUUUUGCAUUCGACAGCGGGAAAGAAUCAACUGACCCAGUUUAAUUUUUCAGUCAACUUACACCUAGCCACUCCGUGUACCAAAAUUUAUGAAAGUUCACUCUUUUGUACAGCUAAACUAAAGUAUUGAAACUCGCUAGAGUUUGGCUGAAAUUGUACCAAUGUUUGAGAAAAAUUAUAAAUUUCAAGUUCUACCUAAGUUUAGCUCGAAUUCAUUAGUCACCGAUAGUUUGCAAAAAAAGGUGUCACCAAUAUAUUUUGGCUGCUACAAACAAUUUGAAGACCCAAUUUCAUUGUUUUGUUGUUGGGUUGGGCGGGUCAUGACCUACUUUCGUCUCCGCCCGCUACUGGUUGAUACGAUUAAUAUUUUGGGACAGAGCAAGUAUUUUGGUGCAUAGUGAAUUAACUAGGUUUUCCUAUUUUCUUUUGAAAUUUUAUUCAAACUUAAUGGGAACACAUGUUUUUAUUGUGAGGGGAAACCCACGUAUAUAUUUGAAUUGUUUCAGGCAUACACCAAGUCAGCGCGGAGAGGAACAACGUUCUUCAUUUAGCCGCAGAGCAUGGCCACGUCGAGCUAAUCCAAGAGCUCGCCAUCUUCGGGGACAAGAGCUUGCUGUCUUGCCAGAACUCAGCUCUCGACACGCCUCUGCACCUCGCGGCGAGGGCGGGGCAUGACAAGGCCGUAUCCCUCCUCGUCCAGCUCGCGCGGGACUGCGGGAUGAGGGUGUCUUACGGUGCAAGAACGAGGCUGGGGACACGGCCCUUCAUCUGGCGGCCAGACUCGGCCAUGGUGCGCCAGUUGAGGCUAUGGUCUCCGUGGUGCCCGACCUGGCCUCUGAGGUUAACGACGCGUCCGUGUCGCCGCUGUACUUGGCGGUGAUGAGCAGGUCGGUGCGAGCCGUCAAAGCUAUAACGACCAGGUGCGGCGAUGCGUCGGCUGCUGGCCCGAGCUCGCAAAACGCUCUGCACGCCGCCGUCUUCCAGGGCUCAGAAAUGGUGAGGCUGCUACUGGAGUGGAAGCCAUGUGGCCCAUCCCUGGCUAGCCAAGCCGACGGCGCCGGCAGUACUCCGCUGCAUUUCGCUUCGUCGGACGGUGACCUCUCCAUCGUACGUGCCAUCCUGAGCGCCGUGCCGCCAUCCGCGGUGCACGCGCGGGACUCAGGCGGCCUCUCUGCUCUCCACGUCGCGGCAGGGAUGGGCCACGUCCGCGUCGCCGAGGCGCUGAUGAAAGCCUGCCCCGACGCCGCCGAGCUGAGGGACGACCGCGGCGGAACCUUCGUGCACGCCGCGGCCAGUGGAGGCCACUCCAAGGUCGUGCGGCUCGCCAUCAAGAGACCCACGCUGCACGGCAUCCUGAACACGCAGGACAGAGACGGCAACACGGCUCUCCACCUGGCGGUGGCCGCACGCGCGCCGGCCGUGGCGGAGGCCCUGAUGUGGAAGGGGAAAGUGCGAGCGGACGUCAUGAACAACGAGGGGCAGACGCCGUUGGAUCUCGCCGCGAAAUCGACCAGUUUCUUCUCCAUGGUAAGUCUGGUGGCGACACUGGCCGCAUUCGGCGCGCAGUCCCGUCCUCAAAGGCGGGACCAUGUCCAGCAAUGGAACAACCACGACAUAACAAAGGCGAUAGAGAAGACGUCGGACAGCCUCGCGGUGAUCGCCGUUCUCGUCGCUGGCGUCGCCUUCACCGCCGCCAACAACAUACCCGGCUCGUACGAGCAGGAGGGGAAUAAAAUAGGGAUGGCGGUCCUCCAGAAGAAGCCCAUCUUCAAAUGCUUCAUUAUCCUGGACAGCUUGGCCCUGGUGACCUCCGUGCUCGCCGUCGUCCUGCUCGUCUACGGCAAGGCCUCACGCUCCGCCGGGUCGUGGAAAACCUUCACGGCGGCGCUGCACUGCCUGUGGUUGUCCCUGAUCAGCAUGGUCCUGGCAUUCUAUGCGGCUCUGGCAGCCGUCACGAGCACCAGGGCGGUCCACGACAUCAGCUACUUCAUCAUAAACGGUGCCCUUUGCCUGAUGUUAGCCGUGGUCACGCAUUUGGUCAGCCCUCGCGUGUCCCACCACACGCUGUGGAAGUACCUUUGGCACCAAUGUGGCUUGAAAGGACGUCAAGGUGUCAUCCGUAGGCGUAUCAGACAGCAGUAUCCAGUCGUCGGUGCUUUCGUGCGCAACCUACUUCUGUUCAGGGCUGCAUAUUAUGUUGUAGUGCCUGCUGGUUUUGUCAUAGUCUGGAAACACGGUGACCGUGCGGCAAGAGAGAUGAAGCAAUUGAUGUAAGUAUAUAUUUUAAAUAUUAUCUUUUCAAUCAACAGGGCGUCGCCCGGCCCUGGCCCCAUUUUCAUUGAAACGAAACGAAACGAAACCGUACAUAGUCCAAUAGUCGAGAUCUAAAAAAAAUGAAAUGUAAUAUCAC
Molecule: ribosomal RNA, 3322 nt
Filed under: Triticum aestivum (bread wheat)
Lineage: Eukaryota; Viridiplantae; Streptophyta; Magnoliopsida; Poales; Poaceae
Description: partial small subunit ribosomal RNA
Source: RNAcentral